RNAcentral lists this non-coding RNA (21 nucleotides) under Caenorhabditis elegans. The record is from RNAcentral. Lineage: Eukaryota; Metazoa; Nematoda; Chromadorea; Rhabditida; Rhabditidae.
UAUCGAAGUUGUUGUUAUUGA